AGUAAAAUUGCUGGGUCAUAUUGUAACUCUAUGUUUAACUUUUUGAGGAAUUGCCAGACUGUUUUCCAAAGCAGCUGCACAAUUUUUCAUUCCCACCAACAAA
Molecule: microRNA precursor, 103 nt
Filed under: Marmota monax (woodchuck)
Lineage: Eukaryota; Metazoa; Chordata; Mammalia; Rodentia; Sciuridae
Source: RNAcentral